This 253-nucleotide ribosomal RNA is filed under the name uncultured bacterium. RNAcentral's name for it is "partial 16S ribosomal RNA". It matches the Rfam family "Bacterial small subunit ribosomal RNA", at positions 524 to 776 of the family's 1533-position model. The record is from RNAcentral.
UACGUAGGAGGCAAGCGUUGUCCGGAAUUACUGGGUGUAAAGCGCGUGUAGGCGGCAGGCCAAGUCUGUGGUGAAAUCGCUCGGCUCAACUGGGCGGGGUCCAUGGAAACUGGUCAGCUGGAGGACGGUAGAGGUGAGUGGAAUUCCGCGUGUAGUGGUGAAAUGCGUAGAGAUGCGGAGGAACACCAGUGGCGAAGGCGAGUCCCUGGACAACUCCUGACACUAAGGCACGAAAGCUAGGGGAGCAAACAGG